ACGAACGCUGGCGGCGUGCUUCACACAUGCAAGUCGAACGGAAAGGCCCUGCUUUUGUGGGGUGCUCGAGUGGCGAACGGGUGAGUAACACGUGAGUAACCUGCCCUUGACUUUUGGAUAACUUCAGGAAACUGGGGCUAAUACCGGAUAGGAGCUCCUGCUGCCUGGUGGGGGUUGGAAAGUUUCGGCGGUUGGGGAUGGACUCGCGGCUUAUCAGCUUGUUGGUGGGGUAGUGGCUUACCAAGGCUUUGACGGGUAGCCGGCCUGAGAGGGUGACCGGCCACAUUGGGACUGAGAUACGGCCCAGACGCCUACGGGAGGCAGCAGUGGGGAAUAUUGCACAAUGGGCGGAAGCCUGAUGCAGCAACGCCGCGUGCGGGAUGACGGCCUUCGGGUUGUAAACCGCUUUCGCCUGUGACGAAGCGUGAGUGACGGUAAUGGGUAAAGAAGCACCGGCUAACUACGUG
Molecule: ribosomal RNA, 467 nt
Filed under: uncultured bacterium
Lineage: Bacteria
Description: partial 16S ribosomal RNA
Rfam family: Bacterial small subunit ribosomal RNA
Source: RNAcentral